GGGUUAAGUCCCGCAACGAGCGCAACCCUUGCCUUUAGUUGCCAGCAGUUCGGCUGGGCACUCUAAAGGGACUGCCGGUGUUAAACCGGAGGGAGGUGGGGAUGACGUCAAGUCCUCAUGGCCUUUAUGACCAGGGCUACACACGUACUACAAUGGCCGAUACAAAGGGCAGCGACACUGCGAGGUGAAGCCAAUCCCGUAAAAUCGGUCUCAGUCCGGAUUGGAGUCUGCAACUCGACUCCAUGAAGUUGGAAUCGCUAGUAAUCGUGGAUCAGCAUGCCACGGUGAAUACGUUCCCGGGCCUU
This 305-nucleotide ribosomal RNA is filed under the name uncultured Desulfobulbus sp. RNAcentral's name for it is "bacterial SSU rRNA". It matches the Rfam family "Bacterial small subunit ribosomal RNA", at positions 1077 to 1382 of the family's 1533-position model. The record is from RNAcentral. Lineage: Bacteria; Pseudomonadati; Thermodesulfobacteriota; Desulfobulbia; Desulfobulbales; Desulfobulbaceae.